Molecule: ribosomal RNA, 294 nt
Filed under: uncultured archaeon
Lineage: Archaea
Description: partial 16S ribosomal RNA
Rfam family: Archaeal small subunit ribosomal RNA
Source: RNAcentral
CGAUUAUUGGGCUUAAAGCGUUCGUAGCCGGCUCAGCAAGUCUUCCGUUAAAUCCAACGAUCUAAUCGUUGGGCUGCGGGAGAUACUGUUGGGCUAGGGGGCGGGAGAAGCCGACGGUAUCCUCGGGGUAGGGGUGAAAUCCUAUAAUCCCGGGAGGACCACCAGUGGCGAAGGCGGUCGGCUAGAACGCGCCCGACGGUGAGGGACGAAAGCUGGGGGAGCGAACCGGAUUAGAUACCCGGGUAGUCCCAGCCGUAAACGAUGCGGGCUAGGUGUUGGGGCGGUACGAACCGC